Molecule: long non-coding RNA, 843 nt
Filed under: Homo sapiens (human)
Lineage: Eukaryota; Metazoa; Chordata; Mammalia; Primates; Hominidae
Description: HSALNT0400262
Source: RNAcentral
UGAUUUUUCAUGUUUGUAGGGUGCAGAUCUGCGUAGUGAAACUACCCACAGCAAGGAUGUAUGCCUGUGAGGUGGCACAGAACUGAUGGAUCAGACUUGGCCUUCAACCUCCUGUUAUCCUGAUGAAAUUGCAAGCUCCAAACAACAGAGACACAACAUUGACCAACAGUAAGAUGGCUUGAAGAAAUAUUUCUUUCAGGACAAACUCUGUGCAUUCCAUGAGGGUGGAUGGAUGGACUUAUGAGGACAAAGCCACUGACAUCAUGAGCAGGAAACAAUGCUUCUCUCAAGCUGCAGCUUCGAAAUGUCAAACAGCCUCUUCCUUGGGUGACAACUGCUUUCUGACUCAAAGGAAGACCUUGCUCUCCAGCAUCAGGGGCUGUCAGAAACUUUGCUUUUGAGUAAGUACAACAUCACACUGCCUGGAGGAUCUAGGUCCACCUUUACACAGAAGCACAGAGCUACAGAGAAGGGGUUUCUGGAUGGAACAUUCACAUCUGGCUGGACUUCAUGGGUUCUAAGGACAGAGGACCUGGGUCCACUUUGCAGACCAGACUUGACACUGGCUGCUUUACACUUAGGACUGCUACGUUGUGAGUCCAUCACUACAGCCUCAAGAAUCCCUCCCCACAGUCUUAUAAUAACCUCUUUGCUUUGUUUUUUUAGUCAUCCCAGGUUUCUUAAUGUGAAUUUAUUCCCUUUUUGCUACAAGCCAAUAAUCCUGAGUCUGUUAACUGCAAAAUCAGUUUUGGUGACUGAAUGCACUAGGAUGUAUAUUAGUUUCUGGAAUUUGGGAUGACUGUAGCAUUUUUCAGCAUUUUAAAGUGAGUAAUUUGUUGUGAC